This 253-nucleotide ribosomal RNA is filed under the name uncultured Defluviicoccus sp. RNAcentral's name for it is "partial 16S ribosomal RNA". It matches the Rfam family "Bacterial small subunit ribosomal RNA", at positions 524 to 776 of the family's 1533-position model. The record is from RNAcentral. Lineage: Bacteria; Pseudomonadati; Pseudomonadota; Alphaproteobacteria; Rhodospirillales; Rhodospirillaceae.
UACGGAAGGGGCUAGCGUUGUUCGGAAUUACUGGGCGUAAAGCGCGCGUAGGCGGCUUUUCAAGUGAGGCGUGAAAGUCCUGGGCUCAACCUGGGGACGGCGCUUCAGACUGUUUGGCUAGAGUCCGGAAGAGGGUGGUGGAAUUCCGAGUGUAGAGGUGAAAUUCGUAGAUAUUCGGAGGAACACCGGUGGCGAAGGCGGCCACCUGGUCCGGUACUGACGCUCAAGUGCGAAAGCGUGGGGAGCAAACAGG